Molecule: ribosomal RNA, 1543 nt
Filed under: uncultured Glomus
Lineage: Eukaryota; Fungi; Glomeromycota; Glomeromycetes; Glomerales; Glomeraceae
Description: eukaryotic LSU rRNA
Rfam family: Eukaryotic large subunit ribosomal RNA (bases 698-1543)
Source: RNAcentral
UCGCUCUUCAACGAGGAAUCCCUAGUAAGCACAAGUCAUCAGCUUGUGUUGAUUACGUCCCUGCCCUUUGUACACACCGCCCGUCGCUACUACCGAUUGAAUGGCUUAGUGAGACCUUCGGAUUGGCAUUCGGAGGUUGGCAACAACCUCUGUUUGCUGAAAAGUUGGUCAAACUUGGUCAUUUAGAGGAAGUAAAAGUCGUAACAAGGUUUCCGUAGGUGAACCUGCGGAAGGAUCAUUAAUGAUUUUUUUAAAGCAAAACCUUUUUUUUAAAAAAAGGUUUUGCGAAUAUAUUUAAAACCCCACUCUUUUAAAAAUAAAUUUCUUAAUUCAUAUUUUAUGAAUAAAAAAAGAUCACUUUCAACAACGGAUCUCUUGGCUCUCGCAUCGAUGAAGAACGUAGCGAAGUGCGAUAAGUAAUGUGAAUUGCAGAAUUCCGUGAAUCAUCGAAUCUUUGAACGCAAAUUGCACUUUCUGGUAUUCCGGAAAGUAUGCCUGUUUGAGGGUCAGUUAAAUAAAAAUCGGUGUUAUUGCUAUUAUGGCGAUGCAUCGGAAUUGAGUCGUCUUUACCUUUGGUUUAAGUGACUUAAAAUUAUGUACGAUUUUUGAACGUAUUUAAAUUAUUUACUUAUGUUCAUAAUAUCACAUAUUAGGUGCGAUCAUCCACAUGAUUUUGCGCCUAUAAUUUUUCAUUAUUUGACCUCAAAUCAGGUAAGAAUACCCGCUGAACUUAAGCAUAUCAAUAAGCGGAGGAAAAGAAAAUAACAAUGAUUCCCUUAGUAACGGCGAGUGAAGGGGGAUAAGCUCAAAUUUUAAAUCUGCUAGGUUUUACCUAUCAGAGUUGUAAUUUGAAGAAGCGUUUUCCGCGUCUCGGUUGACCCAAAUCCUUUGGGAUAUGGUAUCAUGGAGGGUGAGAAUCCCGUCCGGUUGACUUUGUGACGCUUUACGAUACGUUUUCAAAGAGUCGAGUUGUUUGGGAUUGCAGCUCAAAAUGGGAGGUAAAUUUCUCCUAAGGCUAAAUAUUGGCGAGAGACCGAUAGCGAACAAGUACCGUGAGGGAAAGAUGAAAAGAACUUUGAAAAGAGAGUUAAAUAGUACGUGAAAUUGUUGAAAGGGAAACGAUUGAAGUCAGUCGUACCAACGGGAAAUCAACCUUUCGAGCGGGGUUUUUGAGGUUUCAAAGAGUUUCAAAGCCUUUGGGAUUUUAAAAUUUCUUCUCUGCUGGUGUACUUUCUCGUAGGUAGGUCAACAUCGAUUUUGAACAUCAUAAAAAGACUGGAGGAAUGUAGCUUCGAUCUCGUAUUGAAGUGUUAUAGACUUUGGUAAAUGUGAUGAUCAAGAUCGAGGAUUGCAACGAAUAUCCUUUUGGGCUAUUCGUCUGAUCUCUGAUCGUUGCCUUGGUAUCGAAAGCUUGCUUAUGAUAUUAAGGUAUUACGGUCAAAAGGUUAGAACGGAUUACAUUCGUUAAGGAUGUUGACGUAAUGGCUUUAAACGACCCGUCUUGAAACACGGACCAAGGAGUCUAACAUAUAUGCGAGUGUUA